UUUCCGUAGGUGAACCUGCGGAGGGAUCAUUGUAAGAGAUGGUGGACCCGCGCGUCCCCGUCCCCAACCCUUUGUUGACCAAACCCCUUUCGCCUCGGGGGCAGGGCGGCCUCCGCCGCCCCCGGUAGAAAAACCAACCCUGUCUCUGUACGUCGGAGUCUUUGAUAAAUAAAUGAAAACUUUUAACAACGGAUCUCUUGGUUCUC
RNAcentral lists this unclassified non-coding RNA (206 nucleotides) under plant metagenome. Its description in RNAcentral is "partial contains small subunit ribosomal RNA, internal transcribed spacer 1, and 5.8S ribosomal RNA". The record is from RNAcentral.